UGGGGAAUAUUGGACAAUGGGCGAAAGCCUGAUCCAGCCAUGCCGCGUGUGUGAAGAAGGUCUUCGGAUUGUAAAGCACUUUAAGUUGGGAGGAAGGGCAGUUACCUAAUACGUGAUUGUUUUGACGUUACCGACAGAAUAAGCACCGGCUAACUCUGUGCCAGCAGCCGCGGUAAUACAGAGGGUGCAAGCGUUAAUCGGAAUUACUGGGCGUAAAGCGCGCGUAGGUGGUUAGUUAAGUUGGAUGUGAAAUCCCCGGGCUCAACCUGGGAACUGCAUUCAAAACUGACUGACUAGAGUAUGGUAGAGGGUGGUGGAAUUUCCUGUGUAGCGGUGAAAUGCGUAGAUAUAGGAAGGAACACCAGUGGCGAAGGCGACCACCUGGACUGAUACUGACACUGAGGCGCGAAAGCCAGGGGAGCAAACGGGAUUAGAUACCCGCGUAGUCCCUGAGCGGGCUGGCAAGGCGCAU
RNAcentral lists this ribosomal RNA (472 nucleotides) under uncultured bacterium. RNAcentral describes it as "bacterial SSU rRNA". It matches the Rfam family "Bacterial small subunit ribosomal RNA", at positions 355 to 825 of the family's 1533-position model. The record is from RNAcentral.